CCUCUGUCCAGCUUGAAAAUGUACAAUUAAUGUCAAAGCUCUGUACUCUGUUUUUAAGCCAAUGAUCUACCCAAGAACAACAAGAAUUUUCAUCUAAACCGAUUUCUUUGAGUUUGAACACUAAUCUAUUGUGUGGAACUGUAUCAAAUGCCUUGGCAAAAUCCAAAUAGAUCACAUCCACGGCAACACCCUGAUCUAUACUUCUAC
Molecule: non-coding RNA, 207 nt
Organism: Pelobates cultripes (western spadefoot toad)
Lineage: Eukaryota; Metazoa; Chordata; Amphibia; Anura; Pelobatidae
Source: the annotation of a GenBank genome assembly